GAUGAACGCUGGCGGCGUGCUUAACACAUGCAAGUCGAACGAUGAAGAAGAGAAACGCGAACUUCGGUUCAAAUUUCACUUCGGAUUAGUGGCAGACGGGUGAGUAACGCGUGAGCAACCUACCUCUUACAAAGGGAUAGCCUCGGGAAACCGUGAUUAAUACCAUAUGACACAUUCAUAAGGCAUCUUAAGAAUGUUAAAGCUACGGCGGUAAGAGAUGGGCUCGCGUCCCAUUAGCUAGUUGGUGAGGUAACGGCCCACCAAGGCGACGAUGGGUAACCGGCCUGAGAGGGUGAACGGUCACAUUGGAACUGAGACACGGUCCAAACUCCUACGGGAGGCAGCAGUGGGGAAUAUUGCACAAUGGAGGGAACUCUGAUGCAGCGACGCCGCGUGAGCGAUGAAGGAAUUCGUUUCGUAAAGCUCUGUUCUAUGGGAAGAAAAGGACUGUACCAUAGGAGAAAGCCCCGGCUAAAUACGUG
Molecule: ribosomal RNA, 482 nt
Filed under: uncultured bacterium
Lineage: Bacteria
Description: partial 16S ribosomal RNA
Rfam family: Bacterial small subunit ribosomal RNA
Source: RNAcentral